GGGAAUGUAGCUUAAUGCUCUAGCACUUGCCUAACACGUGUGAGGUCCUGGGUUUGAUCCCCAGCACCCCCA
RNAcentral lists this transfer RNA (72 nucleotides) under Heterocephalus glaber (naked mole-rat). It matches the Rfam family "tRNA". From Rfam's summary of the family: Transfer RNA (tRNA) molecules are approximately 80 nucleotides in length. The record is from Rfam by way of RNAcentral. Lineage: Eukaryota; Metazoa; Chordata; Mammalia; Rodentia; Bathyergidae.